AAUUGAUUGAUGAUGGUAGCAGA
RNAcentral lists this non-coding RNA (23 nucleotides) under Rattus norvegicus (Norway rat). Lineage: Eukaryota; Metazoa; Chordata; Mammalia; Rodentia; Muridae. The record is from RNAcentral.